This 495-nucleotide ribosomal RNA is filed under the name uncultured bacterium. RNAcentral describes it as "partial 16S ribosomal RNA". It matches the Rfam family "Bacterial small subunit ribosomal RNA", at positions 28 to 507 of the family's 1533-position model. The record is from RNAcentral.
GAUGAACGCUGGCGGCGUGCCUAAUACAUGCAAGUAGAACGCUGAAGGAGGAGCUUGCUCUUCUGGAUGAGUUGCGAACGGGUGAGUAACGCGUAGGUAACCUGCCUGGUAGCGGGGGAUAACUAUUGGAAACGAUAGCUAAUACCGCAUGACAACAGUUCUUGCAUGAUAACUGUUUAAAAGUGGCACCUGCUCCACUACCAGAUGGCCCUGCGUUGUAUUAGCUAGUUGGUGAGGUAACGGCUCACCAAGGCGACGAUACAUAGCCGACCUGAGAAGGGUAACGGCCACACUGGGACUGAGACACGGCCCAGACCCCUACGGGAGGCAGCAGUAGGGAAUCAUCGGAAAUGGACGGAAGUCUGACCGAGCAACGCCGCGGGAGUGAAGAAGGGUUUCGGAUCGUAAAGCUCUGUUGUUAGAGAAGAAAGAGUGUGAGAGUAGAAAGUUCACACUGUGACGGUAUCUAAACAGAAAGCGACGGCUAACUACGUG